ACCAGCACUCGAGAGUGCGAGCCGACCCAGUCCGGGCUUCAGACCUGCUGGCACUAUUGGGAAGGUUUUAGAAAUUCUUGCUUUAUGAGGAGCACUGGCAUUUUAAAUCAAAUACAGUGUCGUGUAUCUCGAUGUCAUCAAUCCUGUAUGCAAUGUUUACGGAGGCCUAGAGGCGGUGGGGUGCAUGGCCCUCUCAGCUGGUGCCAGCGGAUACCGGGGCGGGAGAGCCAGAUCCAGAUGCGCCGUGAGUGCAGCACAGCCCGGGGUUGUGACCCUCCUAUGAACAAAGAAUAUGAAAUAUCUCACUGACUUGGCUACUGGGAAGUUGAAGAGGACACUGCGUCUCCUUUCCUCCCUGUGGGACAGUGCCGCUCUCAGGGAGCCACGCUCUCUCCGUUCUGGGACGUGCACCCAUGGGUGUGAGCAUCCCAACUGGGGCCUCGCAUUCCUCCAGUGUCACCACCAAGCAUGCGCCCAGCUCUGUGAGGCUGAACUCUGGUUCCUCGGGCCUGAUUCUGCCCAGAGGACCCACCUGGACUUGCCCUCUGCAGGGAUGGCCCCGCUGGCUCUCUGGGAAACUCCCGGGUCCCGCAGAGACUUGCCAGGUGAUAAUUACAGGAUCUUACCUGAGAAUAAGAAUCCACAGGCCCGGGGGCGUGCUCAGUGACUGAGAAUCAGGGGCACCCUGCUUUCGCUUGGCAGACACGACGGCUGAGACUUGAAGAGGUUAGGGGACUCCUCUGACGUCACUCAGCCAAUGAGCGGCGCAGCCGGACCAGCACGCAGCUGGCCUGAGACCCUGUCCGCUCCGGCAAACCUGCCCACAGGGACUGCCCUCCCAGGCCUUCUCCGUGUCCGUGGGGAGAAGCCACACGGGGGGCAGGUUGGGUUGUGUAGCUACAGACUCGCCGAAGCGGCCAAGACGUCACCGGGUGUGCUCCCAGGCCUGUGGACACACCACAUCACCAAAUUUCCUGGACGCUCCGCCCGGACCUGGGCAACUGUGCCCGUGAGAAGGGACUGAGGAGGUUGUGUGUUGGCCACCUGGACCGGCAGCCACAUAGGACUGCACCAGAUCUGGGCCUCCAGGCUACCUGCCCCACUUGCUGCCUGUUUGGGCAUCGGCGAGCCACUCAACCUCGGUGGGGAGAGUCGACCCCCACUGACCUCGGUCCGUGCUGUAGGCCCGGGUUUCGUCUUCCUUCCCACGGGGCUCAGGGCAGGGCGGUACUUCCAGGCAAGGUUUUCCUGCCAAUUAA
Molecule: long non-coding RNA, 1259 nt
Organism: Phyllostomus hastatus (greater spear-nosed bat)
Lineage: Eukaryota; Metazoa; Chordata; Mammalia; Chiroptera; Phyllostomidae
Exons: 3
Source: RefSeq, a predicted model, not a curated record